RNAcentral lists this ribosomal RNA (261 nucleotides) under uncultured archaeon. RNAcentral describes it as "partial 16S ribosomal RNA". It matches the Rfam family "Archaeal small subunit ribosomal RNA", at positions 748 to 1009 of the family's 1478-position model. The record is from RNAcentral.
CAGCCGUAAACUAUGCUCGCUAGGUGUCAGGCAUGGCGCGACCGUGUCUGGUGCCGCAGGGAAGCCGUGAAGCGAGCCACCUGGGAAGUACGGCCGCAAGGCUGAAACUUAAAGGAAUUGGCGGGGGAGCACCACAACAGGUGGAGCCUGCGGUUUAAUUGGACUCAACGCCGGACAACUCACCGGGGACGACAGCAAUAUGUAGGCCAGGCUGAAGACCUUGCCUGAAUCGCUGAGAGGAGGUGCAUGGCGUAGACGUCU